Molecule: ribosomal RNA, 424 nt
Filed under: uncultured Glomeraceae
Lineage: Eukaryota; Fungi; Glomeromycota; Glomeromycetes; Glomerales; Glomeraceae
Description: SSU rRNA
Rfam family: Eukaryotic small subunit ribosomal RNA
Source: RNAcentral
GGGAGGUAGUGACAAUAAAUAACAAUACGGGGCUCUUUUGGGUCUCGUAAUUGGAAUGAGUACAAUUUAAAUCUCUUAACGAGGAACAAUUGGAGGGCAAGUCUGGUGCCAGCAGCCGCGGUAAUUCCAGCUCCAAUAGCGUAUAUUAAAGUUGUUGCAGUUAAAAAGCUCGUAGUUGAAUUUCGGGGUCAGUAGGUUGGUCGUGCCUAUGGUAUGUACUGGCUUUACUGAUUCCUCCUUCUUGAAGAACUGUAAUGUCAUUAAUUUGGUGUUGCAGGGAAACAGGACUGUUACUUUGAAAAAAAUUAGAGUGUUUAAAGCAGGCUAACGCUUGAAUACAUUAGCAUGGAAUAAUGAAAUAGGACGUUUGAUCCUAUUUUGUUGGUUUCUAGGAUUGACGUAAUGAUUAAUAGGGAUAGUUGGG